UAGAACCAUCUGUUCCCAAUUACUUAGC
Molecule: non-coding RNA, 28 nt
Filed under: Mus musculus (house mouse)
Lineage: Eukaryota; Metazoa; Chordata; Mammalia; Rodentia; Muridae
Source: RNAcentral